This 491-nucleotide ribosomal RNA is filed under the name uncultured Streptococcus sp. RNAcentral's name for it is "partial 16S ribosomal RNA". The record is from RNAcentral. Lineage: Bacteria; Bacillati; Bacillota; Bacilli; Lactobacillales; Streptococcaceae.
CACGUAGUUAGCCGUCCCUUUCUGGUAAGAUACCGUCACAGUGUGAACUUUCCACUCUCACACUCGUUCUUCUCUUACAACAGAGCUUUACGAUCCGAAAACCUUCUUCACUCAUGCGGCGUUGCUCGGUCAGACUUCCGUCCAUUGCCGAAGAUUCCCUACUGCUGCCUCCCGUAGGAGUCUGGGCCGUGUCUCAGUCCCAGUGUGGCCGAUCACCCUCUCAGGUCGGCUAUGUAUCGUCGCCUUGGUGAGCCGUUACCCCACCAACUAGCUAAUACAACGCAGGUCCAUCUGGUAGUGAUGCAAUUGCACCUUUUAAGCAAAUGUCAUGCAACAUCUACUCUUAUGCGGUAUUAGCUAUCGUUUACCAAUAGUUACUCCCCCGCUACCAGGCAGGUUACCUACGCGUUACUCACCCGUUGCAACUCAUCCAGAGAGCAAGCUCCUCCUCAGCGUUCUACUUGCAUGUAUUAGGCACGCGCCAGCGUUCG